Molecule: long non-coding RNA, 940 nt
Filed under: Homo sapiens (human)
Lineage: Eukaryota; Metazoa; Chordata; Mammalia; Primates; Hominidae
Description: non-protein coding lnc-MYB-9:1
Source: RNAcentral
UCUGACCCACAAUACCUUAAAAUGGGUGUGACUGGCAUUGUUUUUCUUUUCAAAACGUACUAAGGUAUGAGACUCCCUCACUCUCAACUCCCAUGCAGCAGCAGAUCCUCCAGGCUUCCUAACUCUGUGGUCAGAUCCAGUUUGACCAAGGCAAAGAUUUUUAGGAAUUGAUUUUCACAGGAAGGGUUUUACUUGGCCAGGGACCACUUCUUAUCAUCCAAGAGAUUUAACAAGAUGUUUUCAGGCAUAUCUAGAAUAGAAGAGGUGCAGGGCUUAUAACAUGGGCUUCUCCGGCCAUGUAUACAAUUGACCAGGAAUGAGGCCAGGGAUCUCACUGGUUAUUUGUUCACCCUGUGAGGAAGCCCUGGUUGCCUAGACUUCCAUUCUGGGAUCAAGAACAAAGGACAGAUGCAAAGACUUGCCUAGUAUAUAGCUGAACAUGGAUCAGCAUUAGGCAGAAUAGGUACCCAGAAAUCUACAUUAACACUCUGUUAAGGUGCCAGGAACAACAAAGUGGAGAUAAAAUUUCUCUAUGCCAUGUGGGAUUCACGGGCAACACAAACAGGAGGCUUUCAGAAAAAGACUCUGUAUCUUGAAGUGGAUUCUUUAAUGCCGGGCAUGGUGGCUCACGUCUGUAAUCCUAGAACUUUGGGAGGCCUGAGGUGGAAGGAUCACUUGAGCCCAGGAGUUUGAGACCAGCCCGGGCAACAAAGUGAGACCCCCAUCUCUAUAAAAAAAUAGAAAAAAAUUAGCCGGGUGUGGUGGUGCAUGCUUGUCGUCCCAGCUACUUGGGAGGCUGAGGUGGAUCACUUGAGCUCUGGGCGGUCAAGGCUGCUGUGAACCGCGAUCGUGCAGUGGCACAAUCAUUGCUCACUGCACUCCAGCCUAGGUGACAGUGAGACCCUCUGCUGGAUGCUGAGCCAGAAAAGUUAAGGUAAAU